GAGGGCGCAAGUGAAAAAAGGCAAUCCUCCUGCUGGACACUUCCCAGCGUCUCCCUUGUCACUUACAUAGGAGACUUGCGAGGACUGGGGCAGAGCUGUGACUGAGCUCUUCCGGUUACGUCUCACCCACACGCCUGAUCAUCUCAACAUAGGAAAUGGAAGCAGGAGCUGAAACCAGAGGAGGAAGGACUAGGUCUUCAUCACUUUUCCUGAUUCGAUAGUAAAAUACCCAGCAAGUUAAGGGAGAACGCACUGUUUUCAGCUUACAGCUGCAGAGUCCAGGGUGUCA
Molecule: long non-coding RNA, 289 nt
Organism: Mesocricetus auratus (golden hamster)
Lineage: Eukaryota; Metazoa; Chordata; Mammalia; Rodentia; Cricetidae
Exons: 3
Source: RefSeq, a predicted model, not a curated record